UUUUUUUUUUGAAAGAUAUUUACCUUUAUCUUUUACUGAGGCUUAAAUUAAGAUUUGAAAAAAUAAAAUUAAAAAAAAAUGAAAAUGGCGUUUUUGGAAUAAAUGAGAAUAGAAAGGGUAAAUUUUGACCUAAAAAGCAAAAAAAUAAUGAAAAUAUUUCCGUCGAAUGAGAUCUUAGCAUUACAGCCAAAACCACCCUUUCUUCUCCUUCUUCUUCCCCUUUUCCCCUCCAUUUCCUCUGCAACUAGAGAGAGAAACCCAAUUAUUUUUUUAUUUUAGAGAGAGAAAAUCAACCCUCCAUUAUCAUUAAUCUAAUGUUUUCAUUAUUACCUACUCUCUUAAUCCCUGCUUUUCUUUGCAAUUAACAAACACCCCCACCAUCCCACCCAAAAGGGUAAUUUUAAUUAAAAUUCAAAUUCAACACAAUUUUUUUUUAUGUAUUUAUAUUUUUUUCAAAAAAAAAUCCACAUUGCUAACACCAUAAGCACCUUCAAACUUGAGCAAUUUGCAUAAAAAAUUACACCCAUUCCCCUUUCUUUUUCUGGGAAACCUAGAGUUUUGAUUUUGAGGGUGUUUAUUUGGUGGGUUUUUUUGUGAAACGUUUCGAAACGGAGAAUAGAGAGAAAGAUCAAUGGAACCGGCUGUAUUGGACGAUAUAAUAAACAGGCUAUUGGAUUUUCGAAACGCGAGGCCAGGUGCUGCGAGACAGGUUCAGCUUUCUGAGUCAGAGAUCCGCCUACUUUGCACCGCUGCUAAGGAAAUCUUCUUGCAACAACCUAACCUUUUGGAGCUUGAAGCCCCCAUCAAGAUCUGCGGUGAUAUCCAUGGGCAAUAUGGUGACCUCUUGAGACUUUUUGAAUACGGUGGUUUUCCUCCCGAAGCCAACUACUUGUUUCUAGGGGACUAUGUUGACCGGGGAAAGCAGAGUUUAGAAACAAUUUGCCUUUUGCUUUCUUACAAAAUUAAAUAUCCAGAAAAUUUCUUCCUUUUACGGGGGAACCAUGAAUGCGCAUCCAUUAACAGGAUCUAUGGAUUUUAUGAUGAAUGUAAACGCCGCUUUAAUGUUAGACUUUGGAAGACAUUUACUGAUUGUUUUAAUUGUCUCCCUGUUGCUGCUGUUAUAGAUGACAAAAUUUUGUGCAUGCAUGGUGGUCUCUCACCUGAUUUGACUAACGUGGAUCAAAUUAAGAGUUUAUCUCGUCCGACUGAUGUACCUGAAUCUGGUUUACUAUGCGAUUUAUUGUGGUCAGACCCUUCUAGAGAGGUUAAAGGUUGGGGAAUGAAUGAUCGGGGAGUCUCUUACACAUUUGGUGCCGAUAAAGUGGCCGAAUUCUUAAUGAAGAAUGACAUGGACCUAAUUUGUCGUGCACAUCAGGUUGUGGAAGAUGGAUAUGAAUUUUUUGCUGAUAGACAGCUUGUUACGAUUUUCUCUGCUCCCAAUUAUUGUGGUGAAUUUGAUAAUGCUGGUGCAAUGAUGAGUGUUGAUGAGAGCUUGAUGUGCUCGUUUCAAAUCUUGAAGCCGUCAGAGAGAAGAAGAUUUCUUUGAUCAAGGAUUUGAUGAUGUAGUCAUCAUUCUUUGCUCAGUUAAUUAUACAGCCAUACAGGUAGUUGGGAUUUUAGGUGGAACAUAACUGGUAACAUGAUACCUUUUAUUCGUGCAGUUUUUAUUUCGGAAGACUAAUUAAGUUUAGGUCUCACAGUUGUUGUCUUCAAGGCUGAGAGAUGGUAUCGUCCUGCUUAAUCGUUGAAGACAAGAAUUUUUAAUGUACUUCGAAAGUAUUGUGAUUGAACAUGGAAUUUCGAAGCAACAGACAGAUUAGUGGGCUGUCAGAAUUGUCCCUAUUUCUGUAUUUUCUAUAUUUUUUUUCCUUAAUUUUUUGUAUUUUAUUUUAAUUUUUGGGGGGAAAGGAAUUCUCAUUAGAAAAUCAUGGUGCUGGUGUAUAUACAUUUGGUCUUGUAAAUGACCAUUCACUCUGUACAUUGUUGACACCAAUCUUUGUUUGAACCAUUGUACUGAUCUUACUAUCUGCUAGUUAUGUUUCAAGUAGUCUAGUUACUAUUUGAAGGUUUCAUCUUGCAUUUCUAAAUUCAA
RNA transcript from Chenopodium quinoa (quinoa), 2092 nucleotides. It is a transcript of the gene named serine/threonine-protein phosphatase PP1 isozyme 2, with no coding region annotated. NCBI's taxonomy places the organism in Eukaryota, Viridiplantae, Streptophyta, Magnoliopsida, Caryophyllales, Amaranthaceae. The transcript has 5 exons. The record is from RefSeq and is a predicted model, not a curated record.